GUUAAUUGUCCUGUUUUUCUAAAAUAAAUUUAUGAUGCCACUGCAUGGAAGAACAAAUGUAGUUUCAUGCAUUUGGUCAGUCUAAUUUAUAAUGAUUGCCAAGUGCUAUUUGUAAUAACUUUAACAACUUGAUGCAACAAUAUGUGCCAAAGUCUGAUAUUUGAUCAUUUUAGGAUUUGUUUAGUAUUGCUGUUGAAUAUGCUAUUGAGAAU
Molecule: unclassified non-coding RNA, 212 nt
Filed under: Hevea brasiliensis (rubber tree)
Lineage: Eukaryota; Viridiplantae; Streptophyta; Magnoliopsida; Malpighiales; Euphorbiaceae
Source: RNAcentral